CGCCGCCCUCGCUGCCGCCGGACCAGGCCUCGCCCGCCGCCGCCGCCGGCAGGCUCAUCGUGGACCAGGUAUGCAGAGACGCAGAAAAAGCAGUCGAAGACAAACACACAGAGAAAGACGCGACAAAACAAAAAGAAGAAUCAAACAAAGAAGAAUCGGACGUCAAACUAACAGUCAACAGAACGCAGCAAGAAGACAACGUAUCACGAACAAAUUCCACAGAAGAAAUAUCCAUAGUACAGUCCAAA
Trichoplusia ni (cabbage looper) is the source of this 248-nucleotide long non-coding RNA. RefSeq lists it as uncharacterized. NCBI's taxonomy places the organism in Eukaryota, Metazoa, Arthropoda, Insecta, Lepidoptera, Noctuidae. The record is from RefSeq and is a predicted model, not a curated record. The transcript is spliced from 2 exons.